This 698-nucleotide long non-coding RNA is filed under the name Piliocolobus tephrosceles (Ugandan red Colobus). RNAcentral describes it as "lncRNA (ENSPTEG00000026501.1)". The record is from RNAcentral. Lineage: Eukaryota; Metazoa; Chordata; Mammalia; Primates; Cercopithecidae.
GUACAUAUAAAUAUAUCUACACAUAUAUAAAACAUGUUUAUUUUAUGCAUUUAGUUCUAUAUAUAUAUUUUUUUAAUUUAUUAAAUUAUUUUUCCUUUUUUUUAUUUAAAAAUUAUUAACCAAUGAACAAAUGGAAAAAUUCAAGAGCCCUUUAAUGAAUAAAAAUAUAAGUGAUGUUUUUAUUUCCUAUAAUGAUAUGAUACAAGACAACGAAUAUGAAAGUAGUUAUGGAUCAUACAAAGAUGUCAGUGACUUUUUGGAAAAUUCCGAAAGCUCAAGUAGUCAAUAUUCAAGUGAAAGUGAACCACUAAAAUUGUACAACUCACAUUUUACAAAUAGAAAAGCAAAUAUUCAGGAAACUAAUUCCGUUAAUGAUAUAUUUACAUGUGAAAAAGAAAAUAUAUUGAGACACUCUUACACAGAUAGUUAUAUAAAUGAAAUGGACAGUAUGGAGUGCUUUCCGUUUACAGAUUAUAAACACAAUACCACCAAUAUGAAUAAUAUAAGCGAAUUAGCGGAAUACCAAUGGAAACCAUAUGGUCGUAGUGUGCCUGACAUUUCUUCAAUAAACUUGACCCACAGAAAGGCAUGGGAUAUUGGAAGAGAAGGUUGUAACGGAAUACUCAUUAAAAGCAUUUUAGAUAGCUAUAAUAAAAAGAAACUGAAUUAUAUAUUACUGGAUGGUACUAAUAUAGGUA